Molecule: ribosomal RNA, 700 nt
Filed under: uncultured bacterium
Lineage: Bacteria
Description: bacterial SSU rRNA
Rfam family: Bacterial small subunit ribosomal RNA
Source: RNAcentral
AGAGUUUGAUCAUGGCUCAGAACGAACGCUGGCGGCAGGCUUAACACAUGCAAGUCGAACGCAUCCUUCGGGGUGAGUGGCAGACGGGUGAGUAACGCGUGGGAACGUGCCCUUCAGUUCGGGAUAACCCAGGGAAACUUGGGCUAAUACCGGAUACGUGCGAGAGCAGAAAGAUUUAUCGCUGAAGGAUCGGCCCGCGUCUGAUUAGCUAGUUGGUGGGGUAAUGGCCCACCAAGGCGACGAUCAGUAGCUGGUCUGAGAGGAUGAUCAGCCACAUUGGGACUGAGACACGGCCCAAACUCCUACGGGAGGCAGCAGUGGGGAAUAUUGGACAAUGGGCGCAAGCCUGAUCCAGCCAUGCCGCGUGAGUGAUGAAGGCCUUAGGGUUGUAAAGCUCUUUCGUCCGGGACGAUAAUGACGGUACCGGAAGAAGAAGCCCCGGCUAACUUCGUGCCAGCAGCCGCGGUAAUACGAAGGGGGCUAGCGUUGUUCGGAAUCACUGGGCGUAAAGGGCGCGUAGGCGGCUUUAUAAGUCGGGGGUGAAAGCCUGUGGCUCAACCACAGAAUUGCCUUCGAUACUGUAGAGCUUGAGACCGGAAGAGGUAAGUGGAACUGCGAGUGUAGAGGUGAAAUUCGUAGAUAUUCGCAAGAACACCAGUGGCGAAGGCGGCUUACUGGUCCGGUUCUGACGCUGAGGCGC